Molecule: ribosomal RNA, 783 nt
Filed under: uncultured bacterium
Lineage: Bacteria
Description: bacterial SSU rRNA
Rfam family: Bacterial small subunit ribosomal RNA
Source: RNAcentral
UAGAGUUUGAUCCUGGCUCAGGAUGAACGCUGGCGGCGUGCUUAACACAUGCAAGUCGAACGAUGAUCCGGUGCUUGCACCGGGGAUUAGUGGCGAACGGGUGAGUAACACGUGAGUAACCUGCCCUUGACUCUGGGAUAAGCCUGGGAAACUGGGUCUAAUACCGGAUACGACCUUCGAUGGCAUCAUUGGAGGUGGAAAGCUCCGACGGUCAAGGAUGGGCUCGCGGCCUAUCAGCUUGUUGGUGAGGUAACGGCUCACCAAGGCUUCGACGGGUAGCCGGCCUGAGAGGGCGACCGGCCACACUGGGACUGAGAUACGGCCCAGACUCCUACGGGAGGCAGCAGUGGGGAAUAUUGCACAAUGGGCGCAAGCCUGAUGCAGCAACGCCGCGUGCGGGAUGACGGCCUUCGGGUUGUAAACCGCUUUCAGCUCCGACGAAGGUAACCUGACGGUAGGAGCAGAAGAAGGACCGGCCAACUACGUGCCAGCAGCCGCGGUGAUACGUAGGGUCCGAGCGUUGUCCGGAAUUAUUGGGCGUAAAGGGCUUGUAGGCGGUUUGUCACGUCGGAAGUGAAAUCUCAGAGCUUAACUCUGAGCCUGCUUCCGAUACGGGCAAACUAGAGGGAUGCAGGGGAGAACGGAAUUCCUGGUGGAGCGGUGGAAUGCGCAGAUAUCAGGAGGAACACCGGUGGCGAAGGCGGUUCUCUGGGCAUUUCCUGACGCUGAGAAGCGAAAGCGUGGGGAGCAAACAGGCUUAGAUACCCUGGUAGUCCACGCCGU